RNAcentral lists this ribosomal RNA (429 nucleotides) under Pseudomonadota bacterium. Its description in RNAcentral is "Proteobacteria bacterium partial 16S ribosomal RNA". It matches the Rfam family "Bacterial small subunit ribosomal RNA", at positions 355 to 776 of the family's 1533-position model. Lineage: Bacteria; Pseudomonadati; Pseudomonadota. The record is from RNAcentral.
UGGGGAAUAUUGGACAAUGGGCGAAAGCCUGAUCCAGCCAUGCCGCGUGUGUGAAGAAGGUCUUCGGAUUGUAAAGCACUUUAAGUUGGGAGGAAGGGCAGUAAGCGAAUACCUUGCUGUUUUGACGUUACCGACAGAAUAAGCACCGGCUAACUCUGUGCCAGCAGCCGCGGUAAUACAGAGGGUGCGAGCGUUAAUCGGAUUUACUGGGCGUAAAGCGUGCGUAGGCGGCUAAUUUAGUCGGAUGUGGAAUCCCCGAGCUUAACUUGGGAAUUGCAUUCGAUACUGGUUAGCUAGAGUGUGGGGGAGGAUGGUAAAAUUCCAGGUGAUGCGGUGAAAUGCGUAGAGAUCUGGAGGAAUACCAAUGGCGAAGGCAGCCAUCUGGCCUAACACAAACGCUGAGGUACGAAAGCAUGGGGAGCAAACAGG